AUACCGUGGUAGUCCAUCCUGUAAAUGAUGUCGAUUUGGAGGUUGUGCCCCUUGAGGUGUGGCUUCCCUGAGCUAACGUGUAACAUCGACAGUCUUGGGGACAGUUCCCGCAAGGAUAAAACUCAAAUGAAUUGACGGGGGCCCGCACAAGCGGUGGAGCAUGUGGUUUAAUAAUUUGCAACGCGAAGAACCCCACCUGGUUUUGACAUCCACAGAACUUUCCAGAGAUGGAUUGGUGCCUUCGGGAACUGUGAGACAGGUGCUGCAUGGCUGUCGUCAGCUUUCGUUGUGAAAGAAAGGUUAAGUCCCGCGAAGACCGUAUUCCCUCUCCUGGCAUGCCAGCGGCAGGGCCGGGCCCUCAAAGGAAUAUUCCACUGAUAAACCUGAGGAAGGAGUGGAGGCCGUCUAUUAAUCACGGCCCGUACGGUCAUCCUUACAGACCAGCUAGGGAGGCAUAUACAAAGAGAAGGGACCUCCCGAGAGCAAGCGGACCUCAUAAAGUAUGUCGUAGUCCGGAGGGGAGAAGGUCCCCCACUCCAUGAAGUGGGAAUCGGUGGUAAUAGUAGAUCAGAACAGUACGGAGAAUCCGUUCUCGGGCAUUGUACCCACCGCCCGUCACCCCAUGGGAGUUGGUCGCAAAAGAAGUAGGUAGCUUAACCUUCCGGGAGGGCGGCAUCACAGGGAUCCAAAAGC
RNAcentral lists this ribosomal RNA (693 nucleotides) under Klebsiella variicola. Its description in RNAcentral is "bacterial SSU rRNA". It matches the Rfam family "Bacterial small subunit ribosomal RNA", at positions 782 to 1475 of the family's 1533-position model. Lineage: Bacteria; Pseudomonadati; Pseudomonadota; Gammaproteobacteria; Enterobacterales; Enterobacteriaceae. The record is from RNAcentral.